Hibiscus syriacus is the source of this 316-nucleotide long non-coding RNA. RefSeq lists it as uncharacterized. Lineage: Eukaryota; Viridiplantae; Streptophyta; Magnoliopsida; Malvales; Malvaceae. The record is from RefSeq and is a predicted model, not a curated record. The transcript is spliced from 3 exons.
AUGUUCUUGUUUGGGAUGUUUGAUUUUCUGUUGCUUUGAUGAUUGGUAGAGCACAAGGUUCUUAAUUUUGAGUUCGUGGGAUCGAGUUCACUGAGGAGGACAUUUCAUAAUUCGGAGGAUGCUCGGCAACGUCGAAAGUAAACCCGAUCCGCUACUCCCCAUUUUUUGACAGAACAAAUGGCCCUAUAUAAUUCCCAUAUGGGAUCAAUGGUUUGAAGGCCCCCAAGAAGCUCAAGGUUGCAAAUGUUGGAUACUGUUGAUAGGUUUUUUUGGGUAAACUACGCGUUUAGUAGCUAAACUAUCAGUUUUGGUCCGU